AAUUUUUUGAACUUGGUAUAUUCUAGCCUGUGUCAAAGGCUUGUGAUAUGUUGUAAUAGCUGGGCUGAAGAAGUACAAUAUUAAAACAAAAGCCAUGAGUCAUUUAAGCCCAUUAUAGUUAUACCAUUAAGUUAUAACUAGGUACAACU
This 149-nucleotide small nucleolar RNA is filed under the name Castor canadensis (American beaver). RNAcentral describes it as "Small Cajal body specific RNA 1 (ENSCCNG00000031815.1)". It matches the Rfam family "Small Cajal body specific RNA 1". Rfam says of the family: scaRNAs are a specific class of small nuclear RNAs which localise to the Cajal bodies and guide the modification of RNA polymerase II transcribed spliceosomal RNAs U1, U2, U4, U5 and U12. Lineage: Eukaryota; Metazoa; Chordata; Mammalia; Rodentia; Castoridae. The record is from Rfam by way of RNAcentral.